CGUUGGUGAACCAGCGGAGGGAUCAUUACCGAGUUUACAACUCCCAAACCCCUGUGAACAUACCUUAUGUUGCCUCGGCGGAUCAGCCCGCGCCCCGUAAAAAGGGACGGCCCGCCGCAGGAACCCUAAACUCUGUUUUUAGUGGAACUUCUGAGUAUAAAAAACAAAUAAAUCAAAACUUUCAACAACGGAUCUCUUGGUUCUGGCAUCGAUGAAGAACGCAGCAAAAUGCGAUAAGUAAUGUGAAUUGCAGAAUUCAGUGAAUCAUCGAAUCUUUGAACGCACAUUGCGCCCGCCAGUAUUCUGGCGGGCAUGCCUGUUCGAGCGUCAUUUCAACCCUCAAGCCCAGCUUGGUGUUGGGAGCUGCAGUCCUGCUGCACUCCCCAAAUACAUUGGCGGUCACGUCGAGCUUCCAUAGCGUAGUAAUUUACAUAUCGUUACUGGUAAUCGUCGCGGCCACGCCGUUAAACCCCAACUUCUGAAUGUUGACCUCGGAUCAGGUAGGAAUACCCGCUGAACUUAAGCAUAU
RNAcentral lists this ribosomal RNA (529 nucleotides) under Fusarium culmorum. Its description in RNAcentral is "eukaryotic LSU rRNA". The stretch from base 177 to 330 matches the Rfam family "5.8S ribosomal RNA". The record is from RNAcentral. Lineage: Eukaryota; Fungi; Ascomycota; Sordariomycetes; Hypocreales; Nectriaceae.